Thunnus maccoyii (southern bluefin tuna) is the source of this 545-nucleotide long non-coding RNA. RefSeq lists it as uncharacterized. NCBI's taxonomy places the organism in Eukaryota, Metazoa, Chordata, Actinopteri, Scombriformes, Scombridae. The transcript has 3 exons. The record is from RefSeq and is a predicted model, not a curated record.
CGUUGAAGGGGCGAAGACCUCCCCUGCUCCCAUGCCUGCUCCCCACACCUGCUGCGGUGGCCUUAUUUACACCAUCACCAGUUGGAAAUAUACAAGGGGAGGGGCCCCUGAAAGCAAGACUGUCUGUGCUAUGACCAGACCAUGAGGCAACUUUCAACAUAUCAAUUCAUCUUUACUGACACUGAUGCAGGAGAUGCAUUUAUAUUCCAAGAGAGGCCGCAGGUCAGGGUGAACAACAAAAUUGCUUCCCUGGCUUUGACUGGGAUUCAGCAUCUAGCUCAAGGACACUUCAGUCCUGCAGUGCAGAUGCUUGCUGGUACCUGGAUUGUCCAUCUAAAGAUCCAAUCAAAAGUGCUCUGUGCUAUGUCACAGCUAUGACUUCUUCCUGAGAGGUCACCUACAAGUAUGUUCACACUUACUGUAUCUGAUUCCCAUCUGGAGUUGAGUGAGAGGGUGAUGUGGACAGACCCCUUUUCAUCAAACUUUAAAAAGUUGUGAAAACAUGUCUCCAUGUUUCCUGCAGCACAUAGUCUAAGCUAGUGGUU